Musa acuminata AAA Group (dessert banana) is the source of this 839-nucleotide long non-coding RNA. RefSeq lists it as uncharacterized. Lineage: Eukaryota; Viridiplantae; Streptophyta; Magnoliopsida; Zingiberales; Musaceae. The record is from RefSeq and is a predicted model, not a curated record. The transcript is spliced from 2 exons.
CUUCCUCUCGAAGGAAAGCCUGAACCAAAUAUCUACCGUCCGAUCGCCGGACGCGUCCAUCCCCGCCUCCGCUUUCCCCUGCCGCCGUGGGUCCCUCGUUCUCUCUCUUCCACCUGUUUUGAAGGGUCUCUCUUCCACCUUAUGUGAAGGGAGCUUAUGGUCUUAUCACAGCAACGGAAUGUGGCUAUAAAAGGUGGGAAAAGAGAUCCAAAGCGAGCGCGUUUUGAUCGCUCCUUCUGCUGAACAUUGUUCUCUGUAAGAAUUUUGUUGGGUUUUUGAUCUCCCUCUAGGGUUCUUGAGAUCCUAUCUCGGUCUCCUAUGGAAUUGCCGCCGGGCUUCCGAUUCCGUCCGACGGACGCGGAGCUCGUGAAUCAUUACCUCGAGGAAAAGAUCGCUGGCCGGAUCAAGUCCGCGGACGAGGUCAUCUCCGAGAUAGAUAUCUGCAAGUCCGAGCCGUGGGACCUUCCCGGUUCAUCAUUGAUCAAAGCAGACGAUUCGGAGCGGUUCUUCUUCACGCCGAAGGACCAGAAAUAUCUCACUGGCAACCGUUCCAACCGAGCUACCAAGGCUGGCUACUGGAAAGCCACAGGGAAGGAUCGGAUGAUCGGGUCCAUAUCUCGGGUUCCUACAAUCAGAGGCACGAAGAAGAAGACCCUUGUGUUUUACCAAGACUGUGCCCCCAGGGGGCGUUCCCACUAAUUGGAUCAGACGAUCUCAGAUUUGGAUUUGAAUAACUGGUUUUAUUACGGGAUUUGAGUGAUUGAUCGAGAAAAUUUUCGAUCUCAAAAUCUGUGUAAAUACUUUAAUAUCAAUGAAUAAAAAUCAUCUAUUUCACCAAA